CCUACGGGAGGCAGCAGUAGGGAAUAUUGCUCAAUGGGGGAAACCCUGAAGCAGCAACGCCGCGUGGAGGAUGAAGGUUUUCGGAGUGUAAACUCCUUUUGAUAGAGAAGAGAAGGACGGUAUCUAACGAAUAAGCACUGGCUAACUCCGUGCCAGCAGCCGCGGUAAUACGGAGGGUGCAAGCGUUACGCGGAAUCACUGGGCGUCAAGAGCGCGUAGGCGGGAUCGCAAGUCAGAUGUGAAAUCCUAGGGCUUAACCCUAGAACUGCAUUUGAAACUGUUAUUCUAGAGUAUGGGAGCGGUAGGUGGAAUUCUUGGUGUAGUGGUCAACUCCGU
This 336-nucleotide ribosomal RNA is filed under the name uncultured bacterium. Its description in RNAcentral is "partial 16S ribosomal RNA". It matches the Rfam family "Bacterial small subunit ribosomal RNA", at positions 338 to 691 of the family's 1533-position model. The record is from RNAcentral.